CAUUUUGUAGCCCAUGACGCGAGCGAACCGGGCCAUAUGAUUGUCAGUCCAACCAAAUCUUCGUUAUUUUUCCACCCCACUGAGAGAGAGAGAGGUGUAAUUUAUAAAAAACAGGGAGUGGCUAUUAUCAUUCGCUGGCUUUUUAAAGGGGGCGAGGUUGGAGUAGGGUUUGGGGCUGGCCUUUCUCGCCGGCGCCCCCGUUUUCUCUUGGUUCGGCAGAUAAAUUUGCUCAAGUGUUUUUCUGAUUCAUGGAAGGCCAAAAGUGAUGAUGGGGGUUUCGCUGAUAGCACCUUCUUGUUCUCUGUGGAGGUGUUUCAUUAGUAACUUGCCAUACAUUACCAUCAUUUUUCCUUUGUCUCUAGUGAGAAAAGAGAAAUUCGAGACAAAAUUUUGCUGGAAGUCAUUGUUUGUUAUAUUUGUUGCUUCAUUUUCAUUUAGAAGUAUGUCCAGCAUUUUACUUAUUGUUUUUGAAAAAACACUUGUAUCCCUCUAUCUAUUUUGCCAUGUUCCCUGUAAACCAUGUCACCAGAUUCUCACGAUUACUGAAUUUCAGUAAUGAUUUUGUGUUGCUUUAGAUGUUGGAAACCAAUUGAGUAUUUCUUUUAUUUGUUAGAUAUUUUAUUUUCUCUGGUUAUACCUUUUCUAUUUCCACUGCUAUGCUUUGUUCCAAAUGUUAUUUCCUUGCAGAAGCUAUGAACAUCAGCAUGGAUUUUUAGAUAGCAAUGCUAUAUUCUUGCAUUUUCCUUGAUCUGCCCGUAUGAACAACAAUCUAGAUUUUUAAUCUAUGUGGCAAUACUAUAUUCUAGCAUAUUGACUCUAUUGGUAUUAUUUUGGGACAUACUCUAGACAUCCAUAAUAAUGGUCUUAGGUUUGCAGGCAUCUUAUAUGUUGCUGAUCAUAUUCAAAGGUGUGUAUAGUAUAUACCUUCAUUUUAGGUCUUCUAUCAUUAAUUUGGUUAUUUUAGGUGCGUUUAAUAUAACCAAAUUUAUCUCUCACUUUAAUAAGUAGGGAUCAUCAAGAAGUGUUUAUGUCCAUGGUUGUAUCAUGGCAGAUGUUGAAACUAAGUCAACCUGCCCAAUGCUUGUGAUUUGUGCAUUUUUUUGCUAGAGAACAUCUCAUGAAUAUGAGGAUAUAAUUGAAAUUGCCAACAAGUGGGGGAUGUAAUGGCAUUCCUGGCCUAAACAAGGCAAGGCCUGCCACUUCAUUAUGUACACACCACACUUGUGGCUGAUGGAAGGAAGAAGCCAUGCGCCAUUGUUUUAUCCGUGGACUUGAUUGCAAACUAGUCUUGGCUGGACUCAAACGUGGUAGCUGAAUGCAAAGAUAUAGAUAUGGUCCUGAAGUUGGUGCAUCAUCCUGCAGGUAUUUCUCAGGUGUUCGCCACUGAGAAUUUUGGACGGAGGUAAAAUGUUGUAUGGGUUUUGCUUACAUCAUUUGUUCGUUAAUGUCAUGGGAUCCGUAAAUUACUUGCGAACAUCCCCUAUUGAAAAGAUUUUGUUUUUGUGUCCGUUCUAAUGGGAGUUGGAACGAAGCAGAAGGUAUGAUAUCUCCGUGUCAGGCAAUAUUUUGUUCUUUAUGUGGUUUGGGCUGAUAACUUUGCUUGGCUGUGGACUUCA
Molecule: non-coding RNA, 1616 nt
Organism: Phoenix dactylifera (date palm)
Lineage: Eukaryota; Viridiplantae; Streptophyta; Magnoliopsida; Arecales; Arecaceae
Source: RefSeq, a predicted model, not a curated record